AUACCCAUAAUGUGGACAAUUCAAGAGUAAGCCGUUGAAUUGCUCCAUGCUUCAAAAAACUACUCAUCUUUUUUCUGAGCAAAUUAUGAGAUUUCUCUAUGAAUAU
Molecule: small nucleolar RNA, 106 nt
Filed under: Citrus sinensis (sweet orange)
Lineage: Eukaryota; Viridiplantae; Streptophyta; Magnoliopsida; Sapindales; Rutaceae
Description: Plant small nucleolar RNA R71
Rfam family: Plant small nucleolar RNA R71
About the family: R71 is a member of the C/D box family of snoRNAs containing the C (UGAUGA) and D (CUGA) box motifs. Multiple nearly identical copies of this snoRNA have been identified in Arabidopsis, and it is thought to function as a 2'-O-ribose methylation guide for 18S ribosomal RNA.
Source: Rfam by way of RNAcentral